UAAUUCUUCUUCUCCCCCACUCGCCCUUUGACCCCAGAUGAGCCAGGCCAGCUAAAGAUCUACCUUCCCAAGAAGCUGCUCGAGUGUCUACCCAAAUGUUCCUCUCUGCCCAAGGAGCGCCAUCGCUGGAACACCAACGAGGAGAUUGCUGCGUAUCUCAUCACUUUUGAGAAACACGAUGAGUGGCUGACGACAUCGC
Molecule: long non-coding RNA, 199 nt
Organism: Poecilia latipinna (sailfin molly)
Lineage: Eukaryota; Metazoa; Chordata; Actinopteri; Cyprinodontiformes; Poeciliidae
Exons: 2
Source: RefSeq, a predicted model, not a curated record